AACGAACGCUGGCGGCAGGCCUAACACAUGCAAGUCGAACGCCGUAGCGAUACGGAGUGGCAGACGGGUGAGUAACGCGUGGGAACAUACCCCUCGGUUCGGAAUAACUCAGGGAAACUUGAGCUAAUACCGGAUAAGUCCGAGGUUUUAAUCGACCUUGGAGAAAGAUUUAUCGCCGGAGGAUUGGCCCGCGUCUGAUUAGCUUGUUGGUGAGGUAAUGGCUCACCAAGGCGACGANCAGUAGCUGGUCUGAGAGGACGAUCAGCCACACUGGGACUGAGACACGGCCCAGACUCCUACGGGAGGCAGCAGUGGGGAAUCUUGCGCAAUGGGCGAAAGCCUGACGCAGCGACGCCGCGUGGGGAAGAAGGCCUCGGUUGUAACGUAC
Molecule: ribosomal RNA, 388 nt
Filed under: uncultured bacterium
Lineage: Bacteria
Description: bacterial SSU rRNA
Rfam family: Bacterial small subunit ribosomal RNA
Source: RNAcentral